CGAUGAACCACUUCGGUGGGGAUUAGUGGCGAACGGGUGAGUAACACGUGGGCAAUCUGCCCUUCACUCUGGGACAAGCCCUGGAAACGGGGUCUAAUACCGGAUACCACUCUCACGGGCAUCUGUGAGGGUUGAAAGCUCCGGCGGUGAAGGAUGAGCCCGCGGCCUAUCAGCUUGUUGGUGAGGUAACGGCUCACCAAGGCGACGACGGGUAGCCGGCCUGAGAGGGCGACCGGCCACACUGGGACUGAGACACGGCCCAGACUCCUACGGGAGGCAGCAGUGGGGAAUAUUGCACAAUGGGCGAAAGCCUGAUGCAGCGACGCCGCGUGAGGGAUGACGGCCUUCGGGUUGUAAACCUCUUUCAGCAGGGAAGAAGCGAAAGUGACGGUACCUGCAGAAGAAGCGCCGGCUAACUACGUGCCAGCAGCCGCGGUAAUACGUAGGGCGCAAGCGUUGUCCGGAAUUAUUGGGCGUAAAGAGCUCGUAGGCGGCUUGUCACGUCGGGUGUGAAAGCCCGGGGCUUAACCCCGGGUCUGCAUUCGAUACGGGCUAGCUAGAGUGUGGUAGGGGAGAUCGGAAUUCCUGGUGUAGCGGUGAAAUGCGCAGAUAUCAGGAGGAACACCGGUGGCGAAGGCGGAUCUCUGGGCCAUUACUGACGCUGAGGAGCGAAAGCGUGGGGAGCGAACAGGAUUAGAUACCCUGGUAGUCCACGCCGUAAACGGUGGGAACUAGGUGUUGGCGACAUUCCACGUCGUCGGUGCCGCAGCUAACGCAUUAAGUUCCCCGCCUGGGGAGUACGGCCGCA
RNAcentral lists this ribosomal RNA (808 nucleotides) under Streptomyces sp. RNAcentral describes it as "bacterial SSU rRNA". It matches the Rfam family "Bacterial small subunit ribosomal RNA", at positions 67 to 890 of the family's 1533-position model. The record is from RNAcentral. Lineage: Bacteria; Bacillati; Actinomycetota; Actinomycetes; Kitasatosporales; Streptomycetaceae.